Molecule: ribosomal RNA, 497 nt
Filed under: uncultured bacterium
Lineage: Bacteria
Description: partial 16S ribosomal RNA
Rfam family: Bacterial small subunit ribosomal RNA
Source: RNAcentral
GACGAACGCUGGCGGCGUGCCUAAUACAUGCAAGUUGAGCGCUGAAGGUUGGUACUUGUACCAACUGGAUGAGCAGCGAACGGGUGGGUAACGCGUGGGGAAUCUGCCUUUGAGCGGGGGACAACAUUUGGAAACGAAUGCUAAUACCGCAUAAAAACUUUAAACACAAGUUUUAAGUUUGAAAGAUGCAAUUGCAUCACUCAAAGAUGAUCCCGCGUUGUAUUAGCUAGUUGGUGAGGUAAAGGCUCACCAAGGCGAUGAUACAUAGCCGACCUGAGAGGGUGAGCGGCCACAUUGGGACUGAGACACGGCCCAAACUCCUACGGGAGGCAGCAGUAGGGAAUCUUCGGCAAUGGACGAAAGUCUGACCGAGCAACGCCGCGUGAGUGAAGAAGGUUUUCGGAUCGUAAAACUCUGUUGGUAGAGAAGAACGUUGGUGAGAGUGGAAAGCUCAUCAAGUGACGGUAACUACCCAGAAAGGGACGGCUAACUACGUG